Molecule: unclassified non-coding RNA, 380 nt
Filed under: uncultured bacterium
Lineage: Bacteria
Description: contains 16S-23S intergenic spacer region
Source: RNAcentral
UCCGAGUUGACCCCGGCAGUCUCCUACGAGUCCCCGGCAUUACCCGCUGGCAACAUAGGACAAGGGUUGCGCUCGUUGCGGGACUUAACCCAACAUCUCACGACACGAGCUGACGACAGCCAUGCAGCACCUGUGCACGCUCCCGAAGGUCGGUCGGGUUUCCCCUCCCUACCACGUGCAUGUCAAACCCAGGUAAGGUUCUUCGCGUUGCAUCGAAUUAAACCACACGCUCCGCUGCUUGUGCGUGCCCCCGUCAAUUCCUUUGAGUUUUAAUCUUGCGACCGUACUCCCCAGGCGGAAUGCUUAAAGCGUUAGCUUCGGCACAGAGAGGGUUGAUGACCUCCCCACACCUAGCACUCAACGUUUACGGCUGGGACUAC